RNAcentral lists this ribosomal RNA (473 nucleotides) under uncultured bacterium. RNAcentral describes it as "partial 16S ribosomal RNA". It matches the Rfam family "Bacterial small subunit ribosomal RNA", at positions 355 to 846 of the family's 1533-position model. The record is from RNAcentral.
UGGGGAAUAUUGGACAAUGGGGGCAACCCUGAUCCAGCAAUGCCGCGUGUGUGAAGAAGGUCUUCGGAUUGUAAAGCACUUUCGACGGGGACGAUGAUGACGGUACCCGUAGAAGAAGCCCCGGCUAACUUCGUGCCAGCAGCCGCGGUAAUACGAAGGGGGCUAGCGUUGCUCGGAAUGACUGGGCGUAAAGGGCGUGUAGGCGGUUUACACAGUCAGAUGUGAAAUCCCCGGACUUAACCUGGGAGCUGCAUUUGAUACGUGUAGACUAGAGUGUGAGAGAGGGUUGUGGAAUUCCCAGUGUAGAGGUGAAAUUCGUAGAUAUUGGGAAGAACACCGGUGGCGAAGGCGGCAACCUGGCUCAUGACUGACGCUGAGGCGCGAAAGCGUGGGGAGCAAACAGGUUAGAUACCCUGGUAGUCCACGCUGUAAACGAUGUGUGCUAGAUGUUGGGUAACUUUGUUAUUCAGUGU